CAGGUUUGCAGGGACAAUCACCAUUGCUGGGAUCACAGAAGAUGCCUUUGUUAAGGGGAUGUGCAGUUGAUCCAACUGGGUGACAGGCGCAUACUGCAAUAUUAAGGAAUAUGUAUGAGACAGCCUCGAAUAUAAAAGCCUCUGGGAAUAAAAUCUGGAAACUAAAUACUGAUGGUAGAUACAUAGAUUUGCUAUCACUCUUUAGGAGUCCAUCUUUCAUAUCCUUGUUGUUUUGUAUUUAUAAAUUCAAGGGUUCAUGUAGUAUGGGGUGCAUAUCCCUGCACAGUCAUAUAUUUUUUCCUUCAAGUUCAUGCCUUCUCAGUUUAAUCAUGCAAAAACAGAGACACAGAAGACUUUUCCGGUGAACAUAUGCAAGUAGUGAAAGAGAGGGAAGGAGAGGCAGGAAGAAUGAUUUUUGUGGGGUUGGCAAAAAUUGUUUAUUGUGUGUGUGAGGGAAGGCACUUUGUGCUUCUUGCAUGGUAUAGCAGUAUUGUAUUUCCUCUUUUUCCUUCCUUAACAAAAAGCUCUCUUAACCAAAUAAUCAAGUCAUUUCCAUUUGUGCUAUUCUGUGAGGAAAUGUGAAUAUUCUUGGAUUGCUGAUUGCAGAUCUACCAGGAAAGCUUUUUGUUAAGGAAAGGAGAAGGCUGGGGUGAGAGGUGGGUGAAGAGGCUUUGUCAAUGGGCUCCCACUUGGGUUUGGGCCCAGCAACAAAUGCCCAGUCAUACCUACCCUAGCCCUCUGGCUUGUUUUCCAUACUAAUUAACCUGUUUUCUUGCCUAAGAGUCACUAUGGCACUCCUUGGAAGUAGAAAAGGUCACCUUUUAGCUACCUUGAUUGUGUGAACAAAAUAUGUUAAUAUUUUGUUAAGUUCUGUUAAGUAAGUGUGCCUCUUUAGAUUUUAAGGUAUUAAAUAUGUAUGAAAAGUUUUCUUGAAUUCUCUUUGGUCUUUUGCCACACCAGCUGCUGUAGUUUGAAGGUCGCGCACGCGCGCGCGUGUGUGUGUGUGUGUGAGAGAGAGAGAGAGAGAGAGAGAGAAAUUGAGAAAUAUAACACACAAGUAACAAAUGAAUCAAAAUAGCUAUUUAGUUAUUUAGAAAAUCAACAAAACUGCUCAGAGUCAAUGUAACUUGAAAUCUCAGAGUAUGAUAAACAGUUCUGAAUGUUCAGCAGAUUUUACUGUUUCUGUCUCCAAAUGUAAUAUGCACAGAAUGAAUAAAAUAAAGUCAUUUCAUUGUGAUUACUUUCUAGUUCAGCUUUGGAUACCAAGCCAAAAUUCUACAAUCUUGCAACAUGUGUUUUAAUCAUAAAACUAUUAUCAUAAACUAUUAUGGACCUGUUAUGGAUCUUUCUAUCAUUCCCAGUUACACUAUAGCAAAGCCUUAAAAACUCAUGAACAUUGUUAAAAACAGGAAAGGGAGAAGAAUCCAAACUUAAAGCAGAUUGCCACAGUUUACCAUGUUAAAUAAGAUACUGCCGUGUUUUUAUUUAGUAUAUACAGGCUCCUGAGCAAAUAUUACACAUUGUUUCUUAAAGAGUAUGUUUAGGUAGCCUAAGAAUUGUGGUUUAACAGCUCUUUCAUUUGUUUUGACCUUGGAGCUUUUUCAUUUUCAUGAUUUUCCAGAAGUUGAGCAACAGUGUUGGUGAUAAUUAUACUGUGCCACAGACUAUUUGAACCCUUUAUGAAUAAGAGGUUAUCAAAAAUGCCAUUAUCAGCAAAAACUAAGCAUGACGUAAGGGCACAGUUUGUUUUCUGUUGAGACUGAAAUCUCUGCUUGAUUUCCUGAAAGCACAAACUUUCUCUGUGUUGGAGCUCUCCAAAAGGCCGUGACUGAGCAGUUUCAUGCACGAAAUGUCUGUCUCCUCUAUUGGCUCUAUCCUAUGUCCCUCUGACUCCAUUGUUGUGGACUUCGUACAGAUGAUAGCAGCUGAAGAUGAAACUGGGAUGGUUGCCCAGGAAUGAAGCUCAUUGUGGCUUGAAGGCAACAGCUGAGAAGAAUUUCCUUUGUAUCAAUAAACAGUUCAGAAAUGCAUCUGGGGCAGAAAAGGGCUUCCUGAGGUCUCGGUAGUAGCCUGGUUUGCACCGCUGGCAGUGUCGUCCUUCAGUAUUAUGUUGACAAUUAUCGCAGAUGCCACCACUUCGGUUCCCUGAUGCCAGCCAUGUUUCCAUGUCAAAGUGACAAGUAUCAGAAUGCCCAUUGCACUUACAGGCUGAAACACAGUCAAGAAGAAAAGACAAAUUAAAGAUGUUGUUGCUGUUUUUAAAAGAAUGUAGAGGGGCAUGAAAAUAAUGAAACCAAAACAUAUGCUGGCGGGCAGAUGUUUCUAGAUUAUGCAGGUUGUUAUUCUGUAUUUAGUUCCUCUGAUGCAACUGACUUAAAGAGUGAAACAGCUACCAGCUACCACAAGCCUUCAGAAGUGCAGUAUGUGUUACUUUUGUUAGAAUACAGAAACGUCCAACCAAGUAUUUUGGAAGCCAGAUAAAAUUUUCGAAGACAGUAACCCAAUUGCAUUCAAAGAUGUUGAAUCUCAUCAAAAUUCAGGGGAACCUGCUUUUAUGUCAUAUAUUUAGACUCACUAAUUAUUGCUGAUUCUGUGUUUUGUUUAAAUGAAAAAUGCAGAAUAUUGGGUGUUUUAGUGUCUGGUACAAUUUAUUUAGGUAUUCUGUGAAAUUUUACUUCUUAAUGGCUGAUCUUGGACUCCACAAGGAAGCAAGCAAAUAGUUACCUUCUUGGUAAAAUGUAUGUAUCUUUGUAAACUGAACUGUCACCAGUGUUUAAACAUGAUGUGGAUGGUGGCAUUAGUUUUGUCUUGCUAAUUUAUUUCACACAGGGUCAUUAGCAUUUUGGAAUAUAAGAAGAGAAUGUGCAUAGAAAGGAAUUCCAUUUAUCCACAAUUGCCUAGAAGCACUUCCAUGAAUUUGAAUUUGAUACUUACAUCUGCAUUCAUUUGGGGCUCCGGUUUUGCCAUUUGCAGGUUUCCAGGGCUGGUCAUUGUAGAGGGGAGCACAAUGUUGACAAUGAGUUCCUGCAGUAUGGUGUUUGCACAUGCAUCUUCCGUGAACCUAACAUUGGGAAGCAGAUUAUGACCAUUACAGCUGCAGUGCCAUGUCCAGAUAGUUCAUUGUGCAAAUCUGUCUAUUACCAUGUAUUAUUUUCAGAUGCUGUGUGCUAAUUAGGUAAGCUAGAGCCCACUGAACCUGAAACCAUACUGUUAGAGAGUAGAUGCCCAAGGGAUUCUCCAUAUAGUAAUAAAGGCAUUCCCCCAGUUCUGUUCUACAAAGUUCUCGAUGGAGUAAUAUCUAGCUUUAAGCAACAGAAUAGCAGAUGCUGUUUACUGUCCUUUUAAACAACCUAAAGGGCUCUGUGCUCACAAAAGAAAGGGAAUUCACAGCUCCUGUGGGAAACUGGGGGAGGGGGAGCCUGCUGCACUCACAGACAGUGGAUAAGUGCUCUUUCUUGAAUAAUAAAGCAGAGGACUAUGGCAGGGCAGAAUAGCGGGAGGAAAAUAGUUGAUGUGGACUACUGUACAGCCGAACACGAAAUGCCUCAGGUGGCAGUUGCAAUAAUGAGGUUAUUUCUGGUUGAAAGAAAUGCAUAUUUACAGAAAUGGCAUAUUACUGUUUGAGCAUGAAAAACACGUCCCAAAGAAACAAUAGUCUACUUCUCCCAUAGCAAACAUGUAGCAGGGCUGCAUUUAUUUCUACAAAUAAACAAUCAUGGCUUAGACCUCCACUUUUUAAACAGUGUGUUCCAUAUAUGCAGCACUUUUUCUUGCUUCCAGUAUUAAUAUUCUCAGGAUAUACCUUGUAGCUUCAAUGAUUUAUUUUGGUUCAAAAGUAAAAGUGGUAAGCAAGAAUGACCUUCUCCUUCACAAAUGCAAUCCUUGGAAUCGUACAUGCUACAGAGUCAGACUAGAUGGUAAAGAUACCAUCAGUGGAACAGGAAGCCAAUACUGGAACAGACUAUGCAAUAGCUGGUUCCAAACAUGUGCUUUACAAUUAUUCUGAUGAAUGUCUCUACUUCCUAUCUUUACCCCUUCAAUAUCUUUAGGAAGUAAUUGUGGAUGGUAAGAUAAAGACCAUGCUAAUGUUCUUUAUGAAUGCAUCUAUGAAGGCAAUCCAAGUGUGUGCAUUUUUGAACUGGUUUUUAUUGAACAAUUGUGCAAUAUUAUUCUAAUUGGCUUGAGUACUACAGUUUGCUUGACUGCUACAGUUUACAUGGCAGACAGAUAGCUUUAUACCCCUGUGAUGUCACUUGAUUUGGAGACACUCCCACAGGCUCUGUACAGUACAGGAGACUCAGAUAGGAUAUUGCUCCAGUUAGAUGACUUGAUAGCUUCCUUACAUGGUGUGAUUCCAGCAUUGCUGUAAUUACAGGGCAUACAUACAGGGCCAGGAGCCCUGUUCAGAUGGUUAGAAACAGAAUAUGCUGAAUAGAUGGAGACUGAUCAAGGCAAAAGACCCCAUCUCCAAGCUCCCAUAGAGCGUCCUUGUUCAGACCCCCUAAGGUUCCUAGUUCUCAUGUUUGUGACAAAUAGGCUUAGGCAAUAACCCAGUGCUGGGAUUCAUUUGCACAAAUGAUACUCAUAAAGAACUGUAGCUACUGCUUGGGAAAUAAAAAUAUAUUCUCCCUUCGGGGAGAAACAUGUACAACAAUUCUUGGGAAGAGAAUCUUAAACUGGAAACUCAAUGGGGCACAGAAUGUAUCUGGUACGUAUUUGCAUAACACCCUGCUGAAUAGAAUGUUAUGGGCACAUCUGCUUAAUAAAAGAAACAGCUGGUUAAAGAGGAAAGAUGUUCUGCAGAGAGUUGCUAUGGGAUGAUAGACUAUGAACUGUCAAGUUGGGAAGUCUGCAAUUAAGCUACAAACUCACUUUUUCUCAGCCUUAACUCCCCAUCUGCAAUAUAGGGAUACUAGCAUUGGUUUGCCUUCCAGGGCUUUUGUAAGUUUUACAGAGAUGAUACAUAUGAAGUACCUAAACACCUUUAAUAGUUUAAUGUUUAAUGAAGUACCUUUUAUAGUUUGCAAAAAUGCUAAAUA
Molecule: long non-coding RNA, 5039 nt
Organism: Varanus komodoensis (Komodo dragon)
Lineage: Eukaryota; Metazoa; Chordata; Lepidosauria; Squamata; Varanidae
Exons: 2
Source: RefSeq, a predicted model, not a curated record